RNAcentral lists this long non-coding RNA (229 nucleotides) under Elaeis guineensis (African oil palm). RNAcentral's name for it is "long non-coding RNA (EGUI_LNC030532)". The record is from RNAcentral. Lineage: Eukaryota; Viridiplantae; Streptophyta; Magnoliopsida; Arecales; Arecaceae.
ACCAUUAAAAAUAAGGCAUUGCAAGUUUCUCUGCAUCUUUAACCAUGAGAUGGCUACAAGUAGUUGUCUAUGAUGUAACAGACCAUCCAAGCUUGCUCUACAACUACAACAACAAGAACAAAAAUGCAUCACCUCCAUCGAUCUCUCUCUAAACUCUUUAGGUGCAUCUCGCACAGACAGUCAUCAUAGCCUCCUUGAGCCCCUGGCCGCCUCUUCGGGCCCUCCACCC